This 117-nucleotide small RNA is filed under the name Paenibacillus ihumii. Its description in RNAcentral is "Bacillus sRNA ncr1015". It matches the Rfam family "Bacillus sRNA ncr1015". Lineage: Bacteria; Bacillati; Bacillota; Bacilli; Caryophanales; Paenibacillaceae. The record is from RNAcentral.
UGUAAGAUGCGACAAUUAUGCCCGCAUUACAGCAGCAAUGACGAUUUAAUUAUAUCAUCGUGCUUCUUUAUGAGCAAUCACAAAAGAACCUGGCAACAUUGCCCAGGUUCUUUUUUA